This is an RNA transcript of Haliotis rubra (blacklip abalone), 7502 nucleotides long. It is a transcript of the gene named lysine-specific demethylase 2A-like, with no coding region annotated. The record is from RefSeq and is a predicted model, not a curated record. The transcript has 16 exons. Lineage: Eukaryota; Metazoa; Mollusca; Gastropoda; Lepetellida; Haliotidae.
ACCGCCCUGUGACGUCACAAGUUUUUGUACACAAAAAAGUUGACUGAAUCGAAGAAAUUGGUUCAGCGAUACUCUUGAAAAUUGGAUAUUACACACUCAUUUGAAGUAUAUGCAUCUUUCAACAUGAGUGAGACGACCGACAACGGCCGUAGAUUGUCCGGGUACCUACUGAACCACUAUGGCCGCACACCACGAAGAAAGGGAAGGUUUCACACUCCCAGAAGUCUCACUGAAAUCCCGUCAGGCGGCUGUGACUAUGCGAGAGAGAGAGCGAAAGAGCGGAAGCACUACACCGAUGAAGACAUCGAUGAUGAUGAGAUUGAGGGAAAGCGCAACUACAACAUCGAGGACAAACUCCUGCGCAGCACCUACAAGGGAAACUAUGUCCAAUACAUGAAGGGACCCGAAUUCACCCUGAAGUUUGUCCAGGAGAAUGGCCUGCUGCAACCAAUACUCUUCAAGGACAAGACAGGGCUUGGAAUGAGGGUUCCGAGUGAAAACUUCAAGGUCAGCGAUGUUAAACAGUGUGUGGGAAGUCGACGGAUGCUGGACGUCAUGGACGUCAACACCCAGAAGGGCCUGGAGAUGACGAUGAAGGACUGGGUGCGGUACUACGAGAACAUCAAGCGUGACCGCCUCCUCAACGUCAUCAGUCUGGAGUUCAGCCACACACGUUUGGAGAACUACGUCGAGUCGCCUACGCUGGUGCGGCAGGUCGACUGGGUGGACAGGGUGUGGCCGAGGCAUCUCAAGGACUGCCAGACAGAAUCCACCAACAUCAUUGAGAAGAUGAAGUACCCCAAAGUCCAGAAAUACUGCCUGAUGAGUGUGGCGGGGUGCUACACAGACUUCCACAUCGACUUCGGAGGCACCUCUGUGUGGUACCACAUCCUCCAUGGGGAGAAGAUAUUCUGGCUCAUUCCCCCGACAGAGGCAAAUGUGGAGCUGUACGAAAACUGGGUGCUGUCUGCCAAACAAGGCGACAUAUUCCUCCCAGACCAGGUGUCUGAGUGUCAGAAGAUCCAUCUCCAGGCCGGCGAUACAUUCAUCAUUCCUUCAGGUUGGAUCCACGCCGUGUACACUCCGCGGGACUCUCUGGUGUUUGGAGGUAACUUCCUCCACAGCUUCAACAUCCUCCAGCAGCUGCGAGUGGCCGAUGUAGAAGAUAAAACACAUGUUCCCCAGAAAUUCCGAUAUCCAUUUUACAACGAGAUCAUGUGGUACGUAUUGACUCGUUACGUGGAAUGUGUGGGCAAGAAGUCGUACCUGAAGAAACCUGACAAGGUCGACCUUGACGAGCAGCCAGAAUCUCCGGGAUCAUUCUUCACCAGCGAUGAUUCCCGGCCACCUUCCCGGAACCCAGACUCCCGCCCCCCUUCCCGGAACCCAGAGGAACAUUCGCCGGUUGACUUCUCCAAGCUGAAGCUUGAGAAGGAUGAAGAACAGAAACUAUCCAAGAGUGUUACUAUCCCACUGACAAGAAUUGAUGACUCUGGCAUCAAGAAAUCACAAAGUGAUGAUGAAUCGUUGAGGAAUUCCAGAUCUGUUCGGAAACUGUCCACAGAUUCAGUACAUUCAGAAAAUGGUUUCGCUGAAAAUGGUGACAUGGACAAGAGAAGUGGCGACAGUGGGCGACGAUGGGUACAUUUGACCAAGUUUGAGUUGGAAGGACUUGCCAAGCUGGUAGAGAAGGUGGAGAAUUUACCGCUCAACAAGCGUCGCGUACCCAAAGAUCUCCUGGAUCCUGAUGCUGUGUUGAGAGACAUCAAGCAACUUCUGGCAGAUCACAAAUAUGACAACACGAAGGCAGCAGCAAGCGGAGAGCCAACGUGUUGGGUGCCAGAAACAACCAAGAAAGUGAAGAAAUUGAAAACAACAACGACAUACGUAGGAGGGAAGACAACAAAAGGCUGCACAGCAAGCAAAGUGGCGUCAGGUAACCGUCGGCGACGGACACGGUGCAAGAAGUGCGAGGCGUGUACAAGGUCCGACUGCGGGGAGUGUAACUUCUGUAAAGACAUGCGUAAGUUCGGAGGCCCAGGCAGGAUGAAACAGUCCUGUAUCAGCAGGAAGUGUAUGGCUCCUGUGUUGCCGCACACAGUCACCUGCUGUAUCUGUGAGAAGGAUGGUAAGAUGGCAAGUGAGGACAACCCAGAUGAGAUAGAGACCAUCGUCAUGGAGUGCAGCCUCUGCUGGGAGAUUGUCCAUCCCGCCUGUCUCAAGGAGAAGUACGACUCUCUUGACAAUGAUGGCAUCGUCAACGAAGACCUCCCUAACAGCUGGGAAUGCGCCAAAUGUUGUAACGAAGGAAAACAGGGGCAGCUGAAGCCUAAAACACCUAAACCAGUUGGGCGACCUAAAGGAAUCGACAGUAGAAGGUCAUCUGCCAGCAGUGUGGGUGACCUCGAAGUGAAGGAGGAGGUCGAGAUGGAGGCGACUUUGGAAAACAACAACACAAAGAUGGCACCAGUGAAGGCCGUGGAGGGGAAGAGAGUCACAUCUAAGGAAACACCAGCAGCCCCGAAACCCUCACCCUCAUCUACUCCCAUCCCCACACCACGGAAACUCAUCAAGAGAGAAACACUUGUCAAAAAAGCAAUCCAACAUCGAGUUAGCCAACAGAGGGCGUUGAAGAGAGAUAGACUGAAACAUGUGAGACGUCUUCAAUCAGCUGACACAGUCAAGAGAGUCCUGCCACAAGUGCGGGCCACGAUCAUCCCAAAGUCCCCCCCUCACGUGAUGAGUCGCAGUGGCAAACGGGCCUUAACAGACAGCAGCGAUGAUGACGAUGAUGAUGAUGACGAAGAUGGCCCCAGCAGAAAGCGUCCCCGCCGUGAGGUAGUGCUGCCUCGCCGUUAUCUAGAUUAAUUCACCAAAUCAUUGUCAUUGUCCCUGGCAGAGAUCUUACACGUGGAUGUCUCACGCCAGUCAUGUUGGUUGCCAUGUCGAUUCGCCUUCCUUCCGUGUUGAAGGUUUUAAGUUACAUUGGCCGUUCAGAUACCGUUAAGAGUUCAGAUAGUUAUUUCGUUUAACACUUCCCAUGGCAGCAUGUUUGAAUAUUUACUAAAAUUUGAGAUUCGUGCAAUUUUAAGAUGCAGCAAUUCUAGUAACCAUGGUUGCGUGCGUUUGUUUGUAUGCUAAUGAUGUUUGAUGUAUCAAUAAUAACAUUAAUAUCAGAUUGUAGUGAUGAUAUCAUCUCACCUGAUAACAUUAAUAUCAGAUUGUAGUGACGAUAUCAUGUCGCCGGAUAACAUUAAUAUCAGAUUGUAGUGACGAUAUCAAGUCGCCUGGUAACAUUAAUAUCAGAUUGUAGUGACGAUGAUAUCAUGUCGCCUGAUAACAUUAACAUCAGAUUGUAGUGACGAUAUCAUGUCGCCUGAUAACAUUAAUAUCAGAUUGUAGUGACAAUGUUUAGCCUGAUAACAUUGAUAUCAGGCUUCUACUGAUAUCAUGUGGCCUGAUAACAUAAACCAGUAUCACAUGUCGUGUAAUAAUUGUUUAUAUAACCUGAAUCAGUAACAUGUUCUGUCCUGAUUUGUGCCUGAUCUUCAACUGCAGACUAAACUUGUUUAGAUUAGUAAUAGCAAGAGACUACUAAUCAUAGUUGUACCACAGUUGUACAGCACUUGUACCACAGUUGUACCACAGUUGUACUGCAGUUCUACAGUACUUGUACAGCAGAUGUACUAGUUUCUCAAAUUUACAGAGUUAUCUUCCCUCGUUCCCAUGCCCAGUGGUCACACCAGGUGGCCGAUGUGAAUUGGUCUGUGUAUUGACCACAACAACCUAGGUAGAUGUACUAUGUCGGUUAGAAAUAUGACAGGUAUUCCAGGUAGAUUUCGCAUUUUUUUAACUUCAACAUUUUGUGGUGACAAAUUUGUAUGUUUGGUUUUUUUAACAAAUUUCGGAAAAAAACAUAGUGAUGUAAAUAUUUGUGUUGAGUUAGUGUGGAACUGUGUUGUACAAAGCCAGAUGGAUAUUUUAUGAACGUUUGUCGAUGUGUUGAUGUAAGUUGUCCUCAGGAAGGUUGCGUAGACGAAGCUGGAGAGAGUUUGAAAGAUGUUGCAGGACUGAACAACCUCUUACAGGGGAUAUUUUUAUGCUCCAAUUUUUCCAGACUAAAUAUUUUAGCUUUCUUUGUGAUGACUGUUUUGUUUGGGGAAAUCUAUGUGAUUGGAAAGAUGAUUUAUCAUUCAAGAGUGUUAGAAAGUUGUUUGGAUUAUGAGACAAAUGUUUGGAAAAUUCUGAUGAUAUUUAUCUUAAAAUAGCAGUUCCCAAUAAAGUUUCCAUGAAGAAGAGUAAGUAUCUUAUUCAAUCACUACAUUUUGGGUUGUUUCCAUAUCUCUCCGCUGAAAAAACAAGCAGAAUGAGAGGCAAAAUAAAAUAUGUAUCACAAAAUUCUACUCAUAUUUUAAUGAUCGUUAUUUAUUACACUAAAUGGAUUCCCUAUUCAGGGAGUACCUUAAAACAUAUUUGUCUCCAGUUUAUUUAUUUAUUUUGUUGUUGAGCUCCAUGAAUGUUGCCACAAGCCUACGUAUGAAAACAGUUCUGCUUUUUACAUGGAAAAGUUGAAGGUGAAAAAGUAGAAGAGUAUGAAACUACUGAAGUAGCAUGUAUUGCAUGUUGAUGGAAGGUUGGUGUUGAAUGUGAGAGAAUGUGUGGCUUGUUGCUAGUGCUGUACAUAGAGUCGCUGCCAGUAUUUAUCAGUGUACGUCACUACCGUCAGAAGCAGACUGGAGGUACAACUAUUCUGUACAUACUGCUGAAGAGAAAUGUAUUUUCAAAUAUUAAUAGGAAUAAAAUCGCAUAAACAUAUUUCUCAGAAUCAGGAUCCCAUCCUCAUGUGCUGGCUGUGGUCCCAGCACAUGAGGAUGGGACCUGCACUGUUAGACUGGAUACUUACAGUAAGAGUCCCCAGGAAUAUGUAUUCCACAUUCUAUUCUGUAACAUAGUAGGCGGCUUUCUUAGAAAUGUUUGCUUUGUAUAUUAUUUUUUAGUAUGAGGAAUUAACAUAAACACUUAAACAUAUUAUUUGAAAACAGUCUCUUCAGAAUAUUGUCCAAAAGUUAAAAUAUUGGAAAUAUGUUUCAUUUAUUAUUCCAUGUUUGGGAAAGUUUGGCUUUGUGAAACCAGUAAAUACGUAAUCCGAAAAAGUCAAGGUCUGAUUAUAUUAUAGUUUGCUCUGAAGAUUAUUUGAUUCUUCAAAAUUAACACCUUAAGAAAAGUUAUCCUUCUCCUUCAUGUUGAACAUAUUUGAGAUACAAGGAGAGAUGCGAGAAAUGUGCUGAUACUCCAUUGUAAACAAAUGUGGAUCUGUUUGACAGCUGGAAGGUGAAAUUAGUGCUUGUUCAGAUAGUAUUGUGAGAGUUGUAUUGGACACAUACUGCUCUCUAUGUGUAGAUAAGAUGUGUGAGAUGCGCCUAUCUUGUUGUAUAUAGUGUCAUGUCGUUGUCAUCAUCAUCAUCAUCACCAUCAUCAUCAUCAUCAUCAUCAUCACCACCAGGGCUGUAACGAUUCACUAAACAUCUGGUACAUUGCAGUAUGUUGUGCCAUGAUGGGUGCAUUAUGAAGAUGAGCAUCGAUACACAACAGGUGGUUUGGAGUGAUUUGCUGCAACUAUUAACACAUGAUGAAAAAUAGGGAAGAAUUAAAAUAAUCUCUUUCUUUCAAACAUGAUUAUUUGAGCUUUGUGAUGUCGUGGGAGUAUUGCUGCAACAAACACUGUUCCACAUAUCUUCAGUCACUCCGUACUGAAUAAUCUAAUGUAUCACUAUCUUACUAGCAACAUACAAGUCGUAUCACAAUAGCGUGUAUCGUUACAGCCCGUAUCAUCAGCACACCGCCCCAGACUUGUAGGAUGCUACAACUGUAGACAGUACUCAGUAUCCAGAACACCCUCUUACAAACAUUGCCAGUGUAUAUGAACAGAGUGGGUUGGUGUUCACACUGUUAACCACUAGCAUGGUGAUAACGCUGAUAUAUCACCUGCAUUCCUCCACCGUGUUGUUUGAUGGUGUUUAUUGUGUUUUAUUACCUGUGGCUUGUAGAGCAGAAUUAACAACCCAUGCAUCAUGGUACCUGGCUCUAGAUAAUAACGUGUAUAUUAUAAUAUUUAUACAUAUUUCAUUCUAGUUUUGAGGUAUCAGUCUUUCCUCAACUCAAUAUUUUUGGCAGCAUGUAGAAAUUUAGCAGAUACAUGUAUAAGGUCCAUUUAAAACAUAAAAUGUUCAGUUUCAUUAGGCAAUACAAAAUCAUAUUGAAGCAAUGGUUGUCGGAAUCUGAUAUAUUUUACAACUUGAAAACAAACUUGUGGAUCAGUACAGGAAAGCAAGUCAUCUUUUAACAUCCUGGAAUUAUUGUGCAUUUUAUUUAUUUCAUCUCAACUGUCCUUGUGUCUGGGGGGAGGUAUCUGUAGAUGAAGUAAAUAAGGAAAGCAGUAUGAAGGUCUAUAGUAUAUAGACAGUCUUGGGCCAGGUGUGAUGGUGCAUGGGAUACAGUUACCAGUUUGCAGUAUCACCUCUUGAUGUUGCAGAAGAGAUGGCAUCAUUUCUGUUUCAAUAUUUAAAUUCCAAAAAUUUUAAGUGGAUUUUAUUAGUUCAUCAAAGUUUAUUUGAACUUUUAUCCUGGCAAUCUUCGUUGAUUCUAACCCUAAUUGCAGCAGAGCCAGCUCAUUUUUAUAUGUAAAUCUGGUGAUUGGCUUUAGUUUCAACCCUGCUUAAAAUGUGUAAAUAAUUGCUUUAAUCAUGUGUUUUCCUGUAAAUAGAAAUGUGUGCUAUUUAAUAAAUGAAAGUUUGUCAAGAGUUCUAUCACAAAAAAUCUCAUGUGUUCAGGAUUUAUUUUUAAAAAGAACAACAACAAUUGAUGUGAAAACCCAACUGUUGGACUUGAGUUAGCCAGUGAAUGGGUAGAUUCCAAAUACACCUUGGUUGAUUCUGAUGGGCAGCUUAUCUUUAUAACUAAAAUAACAAGUUUUAACAAAUUUAAGUUGAGAGUAAUGUUUCCAUUUCAAAGUUUAGAUUAAAAAUUAGUUGCAAGAUAGUCUUUUUGAUGCUGCAUUAACCAAAAAGUAUUUACACCGAUGUUAGUUAGCUUGAGAAAUGCAAGUAUUAGGUUACCAUGACAACAUAUAUCCCAGAAUUUUAAGAAUUGCAUAGCAUUGAAAUGUGUAAAAAGACGUGCUGAUUUUGAUAGGUUAUUUCUUUUGAGACAGAAAGAAAAUAGAAAUUGUAGUGUGUUGUUCCCCAAUACUGUAUCAUAUCUCUAAGGAGCCAUUGUUUAUCUCAGAGCGGAUCGAAGAUGCUGAUAUGAGCGAUACAGUUCGUGCCUGAUCACCUGUAUAUUUGUAAGCCUUAACGUAUCUUUAUGGGAGGUUGGACACUUGGUGUGUAACCUUUGGCCCCGAGAUUGUUUGUUCAAAUUGUUUAAUGAAAGUGAAUCCUGUAGAUAUUUAUUUUAUUGCUUCACAGAUUUAUAAUUCACCAGGAAAUAAAGCUUAACAUUGA